AGUGAACGCUGGCGGUAGGCCUAACACAUGCAAGUCGAACGGCAGCACAGUAAGAGCUUGCUCUUACGGGUGGCGAGUGGCGGACGGGUGAGGAAUACAUCGGAAUCUACUUUUUCGUGGGGGAUAACGUAGGGAAACUUACGCUAAUACCGCAUACGACCUACGGGUGAAAGCAGGGGAUCUUCGGACCUUGCGCGAUUGAAUGAGCCGAUGUCGGAUUAGCUAGUUGGCGGGGUAAAGGCCCACCAAGGCGACGAUCCGUAGCUGGUCUGAGAGGAUGAUCAGCCACACUGGAACUGAGACACGGUCCAGACUCCUACGGGAGGCAGCAGUGGGGAAUAUUGACAAUGGGCGCAAGCCUGAUCCAGCCAUACCGCGUGGGUGAAGAAGGCCUUCGGGUUGUAAAGCCCUUUUGUUGGGAAAGAAAAGCGGCAGGUUAAUACCCCGCUGUUCUGACGGUACCCAAAGAAUAAGCACCGGCUAACUUCGUG
This 491-nucleotide ribosomal RNA is filed under the name uncultured bacterium. Its description in RNAcentral is "partial 16S ribosomal RNA". It matches the Rfam family "Bacterial small subunit ribosomal RNA", at positions 29 to 507 of the family's 1533-position model. The record is from RNAcentral.